AAACUCUGUUUUCAUAUGUAUCAUGUAUAGUUUAGGAGGGGGCUAUGGCAGUGAGCUUCCACUUGGUUUUUCAAUGUCUUCCGUGUUAGCUCUCCCUCUCCACACUCCCCCCCCCCCUUUACCAGGCUCUCCCGUCCCAGUUAAUCCUUCCCAUUGUAUUACUCCCCUUCUCCCUUCAUAUCACUCACAUUCUGUCUUUCUCUUGAAUGCCUUCCCAGCCCCCUCCCUAGUCCCCUGCCUUCUACUGGGUACUCCAAUUCAAACACACGUGUGGAAAGACUCAAAGCUGGCAUCCACAUGUGAGAUAGAGCAUGUUCUGUUUCUGGGUCAGGGUUACUUCAGCCGGAAUGACUGAUCCGGCUGUAUUAAUCUGGCUGUAUAUAAUUCUGUAUCUUUCCAUUUACCUGUGAAGUUAAUAACUUUAUUUUUUUCUUUACGGAGUCAUGUACACACACGUACAACCAACUUACUGGAUAAUGUUCCAUUGUAUACCUAUCCCAUAUUUUCAUUAUCCGUUCAUCCAGGCUGGUUUCAUCUUCUGGCUGUUGUGGAUAGAGCAGCAAUGAACAUGGAUGAGCAGGGAUCUCUAGUGAGAUGCAGAGUCCUUUGGGGAUAUGCCUAAGAGUGGCAUAGCUGGGUCACAAGGAAGAUCUGUUUUCUAGCCUUUUGAGGAACCUCCACCCUGGUUUCCAGUGUGUCUGUACCGGUUUGUACUUCCACCAUCAGUGAAUAACUGUCUCCUUUCCCAAUGCCUGUUCUCUUUUUUUUUUCUUUUUAAAAAAAAUCUUAGCCAUUUUGACAUGGGAAAAAUAAGAUCACAAAGUGGUUUUAAUUUACAUUUCCCUGAUUGGUAUUUCCUUUUUUUGAAAGAUGUCUGUUUUAUAUAUAUGUUGUCAAAGACUUUUUCCCUUGUGUAGGCUGUUUCUUUUCUCAAAUGUCCUUUGCUGUACAAACACCUUUUAGUUUCUCGAGGUCUCAUUCGUCAGUUGUUGGUCUUAUUGCCUGUUCAGCCACGAUCCUCUUCCAAAAGUGCUUCCCUGUGCCUAUAAGUUGAAGCUCUUAGCCUGGGAGGGAACUUCAUGAAUCCUCCCCCAGGCUAUGUUAAUAGCUGUCAUUUUUUUUUUUUUGACCCAGGGUCUUACUUUGUGGCCCAGGCUGUCUCAAACGUGUAGUCUUCCUGUCUUCACAGACAUACAUUUUAAACUGUGAGUUAUGUUUGCAUUUAUGGUUAUAUUUUCUCAUAUCUGGGGCUGUUCUAGAAAAACAAAGCGACAAAUUGUUGAUGUUUCUCUUGGGAACUCCCAAGUAGUGUUUUUUACUACCGGACAUUGAUUGUACUGGACUGAAACUUCUUAGACUGCAAUAUCUUCCAGGCAGACUUGGGUAUCUCCAGGAUAGUGACCCCUUUACUCUACCCUAAGACACAAUAUCCACAUAUCAGAAGAAGAACAUUAAGGAGACAAAAGUCCUUGAUGAGCAUCAGGAAGAAGCUAAGGGUCUGCAGUCUACUUACACCCCAAGCUCUCAAACGGUUUUAAAAGAACUUUCAGGAAGAAGGAAGCAGAUGCUGGAGUGUCAUGGAAGAUUGCUUUAGUGUUUGGAGAAAUGCUGGAGACAAAGUAUUUGCCAAUGUGAAGACUCUUAACAAGAUGCAAAGAGUAAAACAAAACAAGCAAAACCAACAAUCAAAAAAGCUCUGGGUACCUGGGUAGUUGCUGUACCUGAGGGAUGUGGUGGGAGGUAGGGAGUAGUCUUGGGUGAUUAGGUGUCUACAGUAUGAGUAAGGCGGUUUGCUAUAGGUAGGGAGGUAAGAUGGCUUUCUAGGAGUCUGUCUGUCCGUCCAUCCACCCACCCAUCCAUCCAUGAAGGACCCAAGUACUAGAUUGGUUCCUAGAGUGAAGGAAAUGUGACCUGUGCCUUGAAAGGUCUCCUAGGCUGUCAGGAAAGCUAGGCAGAGAUUAAUAUUGUGUUGGUCCCGUGGGGACUUCAGAGGGGGCUUAAAGUUUGUGAUGGAAGCCAUGGCAAGCUAAGUCUCUUACAGUACGACAGUUAUCAGUGGGGCAAAGGAAUGGGAAAAUGAAUGUGAGCUAGGUUUUCUGAGCACGUACUAUGCAGAUCCUUUCCAGAAGGGCAAACAGAGGCAUGCAGUGAAAGGAGUUUAGGAUGACGUUAUUACUUUCUGAGUGUGGCUUCCUCCUCAUGCUAUCAGAAAUUAAGAGUAUAGACUUGACAGGGUCCCUUGAUCCCCCAGCCAUUAACGUAGGCAUCUAGUGUCCACUAUUUUCGAAUAAUCUAAAACUUACUAUUACAGCAGGAGAGAAGUUAGAUCUCUUUGCCUGGACAGAUGUCACAACCUUGCCAGUUCCCUGAGGUGGCUGCAGCAUCUUCCUCAGCCUUCUCUUGUCUGCCACACAGGCAGACUCCCCAUCAUUCUGCCAAGUUAAAACCGACUUCAGCUCACAUGUUCUCCAGGCACCGUGUCUACAAAUCCCACUCUUUAAUGUGUGCUGUUCCUCAAACCUCUUAAGCUCGUGGGUAUUUGAGUGCAGAGUCAGAAUGAACCUGCGGCUGUGUUUAUUUUUUGCUCAGUCACAUCCUUCCUUUGAGCUGAUGACUUGUUUGAAGCAGAAAGAGGGGGAUGUGGGGAGUGUGGUGGAGGAAAAGCAGCUUUCGAUAAUGCUUCAAAAUAUUACCCAGCCAAGUGUUGGCUUCAAGGCUUUAUU
Molecule: long non-coding RNA, 2723 nt
Filed under: Mus musculus (house mouse)
Lineage: Eukaryota; Metazoa; Chordata; Mammalia; Rodentia; Muridae
Description: long non-coding RNA chr7:122463437-122466160
Source: RNAcentral